This 253-nucleotide ribosomal RNA is filed under the name uncultured bacterium. Its description in RNAcentral is "partial 16S ribosomal RNA". It matches the Rfam family "Bacterial small subunit ribosomal RNA", at positions 524 to 776 of the family's 1533-position model. The record is from RNAcentral.
UACGUAGGGUGCGAGCGUUAAUCGGAAUUACUGGGCGUAAAGCGUGCGUAGGCGGUUCGUUAAGUCAGUUGUGAAAGCCCCGGGCUCAACCUGGGAAUUGCGGUCGAAACUGGCGAACUAGAAUCUGGCAGAGGGGGGUGGAAUUCCACGUGUAGCAGUGAAAUGCGUAGAGAUGUGGAGGAACACCGAUGGCGAAGGCAGCCCCCUGGGCUGAGAUUGACGCUCAGGCACGAAAGCGUGGGGAGCAAACAGG